This 497-nucleotide ribosomal RNA is filed under the name uncultured bacterium. RNAcentral describes it as "partial 16S ribosomal RNA". It matches the Rfam family "Bacterial small subunit ribosomal RNA", at positions 28 to 507 of the family's 1533-position model. The record is from RNAcentral.
GACGAACGCUGGCGGCGUGCCUAAUACAUGCAAGUAGAACGCUGAAGAGAGGAGCUUGCUCUUCUUGGCUGAGUUGCGAACGGGUGAGUAACGCGUAGGUAACCUGCCUGGUAGCGGGGGAUAGCUAUUGGAAACGAUAGCUAAUACCGCAUAAGAUUGAUUAUUGCAUGAUAAUUAAUUGAAAGAUGCCACUGCAUCACUACCAGAUGGACCUGCGUUGUAUUAGCUAGUUGGGGAGGUAACGGCUCACCAAGGCGAGGAUACAUAGCCGACCUGAGAGGGGGAGCGGCCACACUGGGACGGAGACACGGCCCAGAACCCUAGGGGAGGGAGCCGGCGGGAAUCUUCGGGGAUGGGGGGAACCCUGACCGUGGCACGCCGCGUGAGUGAAGAAUGUUUUCGGAUCGCAAAGGUCUGUUGUAAGAGAAGAACGGGAGUGAGAGUGGAAAGUUCACACUGUGACGGUAUCUUACUAGAAAGCGACGGCUAACUACGUG